GACGAACGCUGGCGGCGUGCUUAACACAUGCAAGUCGAACGGAAAGGCCUCUUUCGGGGGGUACUCGAGUGGCGAACGGGUGAGUAACACGUGAGUAACCUGCCCUUGACUUUGGGAUAACUUCAGGAAACUGGGGCUAAUACCGGAUAGGAGCUCCUGCUGCAUGGUGGGGGUUGGAAAGUUUCGGCGGUUGGGGAUGGACUCGCGGCUUAUCAGCUUGUUGGUGGGGUAGUGGCUUACCAAGGCUUUGACGGGUAGCCGGCCUGAGAGGGUGACCGGCCACAUUGGGACUGAGAGACGGCCCAGACUCCUACGGGAGGCAGCAGUGGGGAAUAUUGCACAAUGGGUGGAAGCCUGAUGCAGCAACGCCGUGGGCGGGAGGACGGCCUUCGGGUUGUAAACCGCUUUCGCUCAUGACGAAGCUUUGUGUGACGGUAGUGGGUAAAGAAGCACCGGCUAACUACGUG
Molecule: ribosomal RNA, 467 nt
Filed under: uncultured bacterium
Lineage: Bacteria
Description: partial 16S ribosomal RNA
Rfam family: Bacterial small subunit ribosomal RNA
Source: RNAcentral